GACGAACGCUGGCGGCGUGCCUAGUACAUGCAAGUAGAACGCACAGUUUAUACCGUAGCUUGCUACACCAUAGACUGUGAGUUGCGAACGGGUGAGUAACGCGUAGGUAACCUGCCUGGUAGCGGGGGAUAACUAUUGGAAACGAUAGCUAAUACCGCAUAAUAUUAAUUAUUGCAUGAUAAUUAAUUGAAAGGUGCAAUUGCACCACUACCAGAUGGACCUGCGUUGUAUUAGCUAGUAGGUGAGGUAACGGCUCACCUAGGCGACGAUACAUAGCCGACCUGAGAGGGUGAUCGGCCACACUGGGACUGAGACACGGCCCAGACUCCUACGGGAGGCAGCAGUAGGGAAUCUUCGGCAAUGGACGAAAGUCUGACCGAGCAACGCCGCGGGAGUGAAGAAGGUUUUCGGAUCGUAAAGCUCUGUUGUAAGAGAAGAACGGGUGUGAGAGUGGAAAGUUCACACUGUGACGGUAUCUUACCAGAAAGAGACGGCUAACUACGUG
Molecule: ribosomal RNA, 505 nt
Filed under: uncultured bacterium
Lineage: Bacteria
Description: partial 16S ribosomal RNA
Rfam family: Bacterial small subunit ribosomal RNA
Source: RNAcentral